RNAcentral lists this ribosomal RNA (745 nucleotides) under uncultured bacterium. Its description in RNAcentral is "bacterial SSU rRNA". It matches the Rfam family "Bacterial small subunit ribosomal RNA", at positions 64 to 794 of the family's 1533-position model. The record is from RNAcentral.
GUGCUUGCACUAGAUGAAACUAGAUACAAGCGAGCGGCGGACGGGUGAGUAACACGUGGGUAACCUGCCCAAGAGACUGGGAUAACACCUGGAAACAGAUGCUAAUACCGGAUAACAACACUAGACGCAUGUCUAGAGUUUGAAAGAUGGUUCUGCUAUCACUCUUGGAUGGACCUGCGGUGCAUUAGCUAGUUGGUAAGGUAACGGCUUACCAAGGCAAUGAUGCAUAGCCGAGCUGAGAGACUGAUCGGCCACAUUGGGACUGAGACACGGCCCAAACUCCUACGGGAGGCAGCAGUAGGGAAUCUUCCACAAUGGACGAAAGUCUGAUGGAGCAACGCCGCGUGAGUGAAGAAGGGUUUCGGCUCGUAAAGCUCUGUUGGUAGUGAAGAAAGAUAGAGGUAGUAACUGGCCUUUAUUUGACGGUAAUUACUUAGAAAGUCACGGCUAACUACGUGCCAGCAGCCGCGGUAAUACGUAGGUGGCAAGCGUUGUCCGGAUUUAUUGGGCGUAAAGCGAGUGCAGGCGGUUCAAUAAGUCUGAUGUGAAAGCCUUCGGCUCAACCGGAGAAUUGCAUCAGAAACUGUUGAACUUGAGUGCAGAAGAGGAGAGUGGAACUCCAUGUGUAGCGGUGGACUGCGUAGAUAUAUGGAAGAACACCAGUGGCGAAGGCGGCUCUCUGGUCUGCAACUGACGCUGAGGCUCGAAAGCAUGGGUAGCGAACAGGAUUAGAUACCCUGGUAGU